UGGAUGCUGAAAUUCGAAUUGCUGAGU
This 27-nucleotide non-coding RNA is filed under the name Homo sapiens (human). Lineage: Eukaryota; Metazoa; Chordata; Mammalia; Primates; Hominidae. The record is from RNAcentral.